This is a non-coding RNA of Megalobrama amblycephala (Wuchang bream), 485 nucleotides long. NCBI's taxonomy places the organism in Eukaryota, Metazoa, Chordata, Actinopteri, Cypriniformes, Xenocyprididae. The record is from the annotation of a RefSeq genome assembly.
UCUGUUACUCCACAUGCAUGAGUAAAUAUAUCAAUGCAAACCCAGCUGCCAUAUUUCCUAUUUAAACAACUGAGCAAAGGAGUGUUCAAUCUGAAGAGGAGAAACAAUGUUCUCCCUAAAGCUCUUUCUGCUGUUGGCAACCGCACACAGUAUUGACUCUCAGGUUGUGCUCACACAGUCUGAACAGUCAGUAGUUGUGACUCCAGGUGGUUCCCGCAAACUGACCUGUGCCUGCAGUGGAUUCACUCUUAGUGGCUAUAGGAUGCACUGGAUCCGCCAGGCACCUGGAAAAGGACUUGAAUGGAUCUUGCACUAUUAUACAGACUCUGACAAAGGCUCAGCUCAGUCAGUGCAGGGCAGGUUCACAGCAUCUAAGGACAGCUCUAAUUUCUAUCUGCACAUGAAUCAGCUGAAGACUGAAGACACUGCGGUGUAUUACUGUGCAACAGAUACACUGUGGAAACACUAAUACAGACAGCUGUUCA